Molecule: ribosomal RNA, 402 nt
Filed under: uncultured bacterium
Lineage: Bacteria
Description: bacterial SSU rRNA
Rfam family: Bacterial small subunit ribosomal RNA
Source: RNAcentral
UGGGGAAUCUUGCACAACGGGGGCAACCCUGAUGCAGCGACGCCGCGUGAGCGAUGAAGCCCUUCGGGGCGUAAAGCUCUUUCGACCGGAACGAUAAUGACGGUACCGGGAGAAGAAGCUGCGGCUAACUACGUGCCAGCAGCCGCGGUAAUACGUAGGCAGCAAGCGUUGUUCGGAGUUACUGGGCGUAAAGAGUGCGUAGGCGGUUUUCUAAGUUCGGUGUGAAAUCUCCCGGCUUAACUGGGAGGGUGCGCCGAAGACUGGGAAGCUGGAGUGUGGGAAAGGCAGGCGGAAUUCCUGGUGUAGCGGUGAAAUGCGUAGAUAUCAGGAGGAACACCGGCAGUGUAGACGGCUUGCUAGACCAUAACUGACGCUGAGGCACGAAAGCGUGGGUAGCAAACA